AGUAAUGUAUGGGGAUCUGCCCGAUAGAGGGGAAUAACUACUGGAAACGGUGGCUAAUACCGCAUAAUGUCUACGGACCAAAGCAGGGGCUCUUCGGACCUUGCACUAUCGGAUGAACCCAUAUGGGAUUAGCUAGUAGGUGGGGUAAAGGCCCACCUAGGCGACGAUCUCUAGCUGGUCUGAGAGGAUGAUCAGCCACACUGGGACUGAGACACGGCCCAG
Molecule: ribosomal RNA, 222 nt
Filed under: uncultured bacterium
Lineage: Bacteria
Description: partial 16S ribosomal RNA
Rfam family: Bacterial small subunit ribosomal RNA
Source: RNAcentral